GCUUAACACAUGCAAGUCGGACGGUAGCAGGAGAAAGCUUGCUUUCUUGCUGACGAGUGGCGGACGGGUGAGUAAUGCUUGGGAAUCUGGCUUAUGGAGGGGGAUAACGACGGGAAACUGUCGCUAAUACCGCGUAAUAUCGAAAGAUUAAAGUGUGGGACCUUCGGGCCACAUGCCAUAGGAUGAGCCCAAGUGGGAUUAGGUAGUUGGUGGGGUAAAGGCCUACCAAGCCUGCGAUCUCUAGCUGGUCUGAGAGGAUGACCAGCCACACUGGAACUGAGACACGGUCCAGACUCCUACGGGAGGCAGCAGUGGGGAAUAUUGCGCAAUGGGGGGAACCCUGACGCAGCCAUGCCGCGUGAAUGAAGAAGGCCUUAGGGUUGUAAAGUUCUUUCGGUAUUGAGGAAGGUUGAUGUGUUAAUAGCACAUCAAAUUGACGUUAAAUACAGAAGAAGCACCGGCUAACUCCGUGCCAGCA
Molecule: ribosomal RNA, 478 nt
Filed under: Haemophilus influenzae
Lineage: Bacteria; Pseudomonadati; Pseudomonadota; Gammaproteobacteria; Pasteurellales; Pasteurellaceae
Description: bacterial SSU rRNA
Rfam family: Bacterial small subunit ribosomal RNA
Source: RNAcentral